UGCAAAUCUUCCUAUUUACC
Molecule: transfer RNA, 20 nt
Filed under: Panthera tigris (tiger)
Lineage: Eukaryota; Metazoa; Chordata; Mammalia; Carnivora; Felidae
Description: partial tRNA-His
Source: RNAcentral